RNAcentral lists this ribosomal RNA (2902 nucleotides) under Escherichia coli. Its description in RNAcentral is "bacterial LSU rRNA". It matches the Rfam family "Bacterial large subunit ribosomal RNA". Lineage: Bacteria; Pseudomonadati; Pseudomonadota; Gammaproteobacteria; Enterobacterales; Enterobacteriaceae. The record is from RNAcentral.
UUAAGCGACUAAGCGUACACGGUGGAUGCCCUGGCAGUCAGAGGCGAUGAAGGACGUGCUAAUCUGCGAUAAGCGUCGGUGAGGUGAUAUGAACCGUUAUAACCGGCGAUUUCCGAAUGGGGAAACCCAGUGUGUUUCGACACACUAUCAUUAACUGAAUCCAUAGGUUAAUGAGGCGAACCGGGGAACUGAAACAUCUAAGUACCCCGAGGAAAAGAAAUCAACCGAGAUUCCCCCAGUAGCGGCGAGCGAACGGGGAGGAGCCCAGAGCCUGAAUCAGUGUGUGUGUUAGUGGAAGCGUCUGGAAAGGCGCGCGAUACAGGGUGACAGCCCCGUACACAAAAUGCACAUGCUGUGAGCUCGAUGAGUAGGGCGGGACACGUGGUAUCCUGUCUGAAUAUGGGGGGACCAUCCUCCAAGGCUAAAUACUCCUGACUGACCGAUAGUGAACCAGUACCGUGAGGGAAAGGCGAAAAGAACCCCGGCGAGGGGAGUGAAAAAGAACCUGAAACCGUGUACGUACAAGCAGUGGGAGCCUCUUUAUGGGGGUGACUGCGUACCUUUUGUAUAAUGGGUCAGCGACUUAUAUUCUGUAGCAAGGUUAACCGAAUAGGGGAGCCGAAGGGAAACCGAGUCUUAACUGGGCGUUAAGUUGCAGGGUAUAGACCCGAAACCCGGUGAUCUAGCCAUGGGCAGGUUGAAGGUUGGGUAACACUAACUGGAGGACCGAACCGACUAAUGUUGAAAAAUUAGCGGAUGACUUGUGGCUGGGGGUGAAAGGCCAAUCAAACCGGGAGAUAGCUGGUUCUCCCCGAAAGCUAUUUAGGUAGCGCCUCGUGAAUUCAUCUCCGGGGGUAGAGCACUGUUUCGGCAAGGGGGUCAUCCCGACUUACCAACCCGAUGCAAACUGCGAAUACCGGAGAAUGUUAUCACGGGAGACACACGGCGGGUGCUAACGUCCGUCGUGAAGAGGGAAACAACCCAGACCGCCAGCUAAGGUCCCAAAGUCAUGGUUAAGUGGGAAACGAUGUGGGAAGGCCCAGACAGCCAGGAUGUUGGCUUAGAAGCAGCCAUCAUUUAAAGAAAGCGUAAUAGCUCACUGGUCGAGUCGGCCUGCGCGGAAGAUGUAACGGGGCUAAACCAUGCACCGAAGCUGCGGCAGCGACACUAUGUGUUGUUGGGUAGGGGAGCGUUCUGUAAGCCUGUGAAGGUGUACUGUGAGGUAUGCUGGAGGUAUCAGAAGUGCGAAUGCUGACAUAAGUAACGAUAAAGCGGGUGAAAAGCCCGCUCGCCGGAAGACCAAGGGUUCCUGUCCAACGUUAAUCGGGGCAGGGUGGAGUCGACCCUAAGGCGAGGCCGAAAGGCGUAGUCGAUGGGAAACAGGUUAAUAUUCCUGUACUUGGUGUUACUUGCGAAGGGGGGACGGAGAAGGCUAUGUUGGCCGGGCGACGGUUGUCCCGGUUUAAGCGUGUAGGCUGGUUUUCCAGGCAAAUCCGGAAAAUCAAGGCUGAGGCGUGAUGACGAGGCACUACGGUGCUGAAGCAACAAAUGCCCUGCUUCCAGGAAAAGCCUCUAAGCAUCAGGUAACAUCAAAUCGUACCCCAAACCGACACAGGUGGUCAGGUAGAGAAUACCAAGGCGCUUGAGAGAACUCGGGUGAAGGAACUAGGCAAAAUGGUGCCGUAACUUCGGGAGAAGGCACGCUGAUAUGUAGGUGAAGCGACUUGCUCGUGGAGCUGAAAUCAGUCGAAGAUACCAGCUGGCUGCAACUGUUUAUUAAAAACACAGCACUGUGCAAACACGAAAGUGGACGUAUACGGUGUGACGCCUGCCCGGUGCCGGAAGGUUAAUUGAUGGGGUUAGCGGUAACGCGAAGCUCUUGAUCGAAGCCCCGGUAAACGGCGGCCGUAACUAUAACGGUCCUAAGGUAGCGAAAUUCCUUGUCGGGUAAGUUCCGACCUGCACGAAUGGCGUAAUGAUGGCCAGGCUGUCUCCACCCGAGACUCAGUGAAAUUGAACUCGCUGUGAAGAUGCAGUGUACCCGCGGCAAGACGGAAAGACCCCGUGAACCUUUACUAUAGCUUGACACUGAACAUUGAGCCUUGAUGUGUAGGAUAGGUGGGAGGCUUUGAAGUGUGGACGCCAGUCUGCAUGGAGCCGGCCUUGAAAUACCACCCUUUAAUGUUUGAUGUUCUAACGUUGGCCCCUGAUCGGGGUUGCGGACAGUGUCUGGUGGGUAGUUUGACUGGGGCGGUCUCCUCCUAAAGAGUAACGGAGGAGCACGAAGGUUGGCUAAUCCUGGUCGGACAUCAGGAGGUUAGUGCAAUGGCAUAAGCCAGCUUGACUGCGAGCGUGACGGCGCGAGCAGGUGCGAAAGCAGGUCAUAGUGAUCCGGUGGUUCUGAAUGGAAGGGCCAUCGCUCAACGGAUAAAAGGUACUCCGGGGAUAACAGGCUGAUACCGCCCAAGAGUUCAUAUCGACGGCGGUGUUUGGCACCUCGAUGUCGGCUCAUCACAUCCUGGGGCUGAAGUAGGUCCCAAGGGUAUGGCUGUUCGCCAUUUAAAGUGGUACGCGAGCUGGGUUUAGAACGUCGUGAGACAGUUCGGUCCCUAUCUGCCGUGGGCGCUGGAGAACUGAGGGGGGCUGCUCCUAGUACGAGAGGACCGGAGUGGACGCAUCACUGGUGUUCGGGUUGUCAUGCCAAUGGCACUGCCCGGUAGCUAAAUGCGGAAGAGAUAAGUGCUGAAAGCAUCUAAGCACGAAACUUGCCCCGAGAUGAGUUCUCCCUGAGACUUAGAGUCUCCUGAAGGAACGUUGAAGACGACGACGUUGAUAGGCCGGGUGUGUAAGCGCAGCGAUGCGUUGAGCUAACCGGUACUAAUGAACCGUGAGGCUUAACCUU